Syngnathus typhle (broad-nosed pipefish) is the source of this 543-nucleotide long non-coding RNA. RefSeq lists it as uncharacterized. The record is from RefSeq and is a predicted model, not a curated record. NCBI's taxonomy places the organism in Eukaryota, Metazoa, Chordata, Actinopteri, Syngnathiformes, Syngnathidae. The transcript is spliced from 3 exons.
ACCGUCGUGCUUCUUUCAUUGACGGAGGGCGGCGCAGGCACGCACACAUAUAGGAGCAAGACGGAACCUGUUAUCAAAGCUCUUGGCUCUGGCCGCCCGCCAAAAGAAACGUGCCGGGGCGAAGGCUAAUCCACUGGAAAAGCUAAACGCCAAAUGGCAAAUAUUGAUACGCCGCUUUAGUAGCGCCUGCAGGUGAAUGUGGUCAAGGAGGAGGAAAGGAAGGCUGCCCAGACCAGAAGUGGUCCCAAGGGAGUUCAAGAUCAAAGGUGGUGCUGCUUAAGCAAGGGAGUUAUGCUGAUGGAGCUAACGAGCGGUUCAAAAAGAAGGACGGAAAAACGGAGAGGAGGAGGCGACAGAGUGAGGAGAGAAAGCACGCGAGGAAAAGCAAGAUGACUAAUUAGCAAACAAAGAUGAGGUGUCGACGGCCACCUUGAGAACAUCCUCAACAUCAUCUCCUGCCGUCUAGUCGGAGCAACGACAGAAUUAUUCCCUUUGAAUAAAAAGUGGGCAAAAAAGGCAGAACUCAUUGCCUUUCUGUUUCCA